Molecule: non-coding RNA, 87 nt
Organism: Callithrix jacchus (white-tufted-ear marmoset)
Lineage: Eukaryota; Metazoa; Chordata; Mammalia; Primates; Cebidae
Source: Rfam
UCUCAGGCCGUGACCGUCUACAGGGAAGCGCUUUCUGUUGUCAGAAAGAAAAGAAAGUGCAUCCUUGUAGUGGGUCACUGUUUGAGA